UGGUUAUAAUAGCAGAGAGGAUACACCUGUUCCCAUUCCGAACACAGAAGUUAAGCUCUCUAGCGCUGAUGGUACUUGGUGGGAAACUGCCUGGGAGAGUA
Molecule: ribosomal RNA, 101 nt
Filed under: Clostridioides difficile
Lineage: Bacteria; Bacillati; Bacillota; Clostridia; Peptostreptococcales; Peptostreptococcaceae
Source: RNAcentral